RNAcentral lists this ribosomal RNA (2370 nucleotides) under human gut metagenome. Its description in RNAcentral is "bacterial LSU rRNA". It matches the Rfam family "Bacterial large subunit ribosomal RNA", at positions 189 to 2568 of the family's 2925-position model. The record is from RNAcentral.
UGAACUGAAACAUCUAAGUAGCCGGAGGAAAAGAAAGAAAACUCGAUUCCCAGAGUAGCGGCGAGCGAAAUGGGAGGAGCCUAAACCAGCGUGCGUGCAUGCUGGGGUUAAGGACUGCAACAAGUGACCGGAAGGUUAACAGAAUGGUUUUGGGAAAGCCAGCCGUAGACGGUGAAAGCCCGGUAUACGACUCUUUAACGAAGCCUAGUGGAAUCCUGAGUAGCGCGGAGCACGAGAAAUUCUGUGUGAAUCAGCGGGGCCCAUCCCGUAAGGCUAAAUACUCCCGAGAGACCGAUAGCGAACCAGUACCGUGAGGGAAAGGUGAAAAGCACUUCGAACAGAAGAGUGAAAUAGUUCCUGAAACCGUGCGCCUACAAGCGGUCGGAGCUGCUUAAAGCAGUGACGGCGUGCCUUUUGCAUAAUGAACCUACGAGUUGCCUUUGCCGGCAAGGUUAAGUGUGACGACACACGUAUCCGAAGCGAAAGCGAGUCUGAAUAGGGCGUAUAGUCGGCAGUGGCAGACGCGAAACCAAGUGAUCUACCCUUGGCCAGGUUGAAGGCUGGGUAACACCAGCUGGAGGACCGCACCAAUAAGCGUUGAAAAGCUUCUGGAUGAGCUGAGGGUAGGGGUGAAAGGCUAAUCAAACUUGGAGAUAGCUCGUACUCCCCGAAAUGCAUUUAGGUGCAGCCUUGUGGGUUACUGAUGUGAGGUAGAGCGACUGAUAAGAUGCGAGGGCUUCACCGCCUAUCAAGUCUUGACAAACUCCGAAUGCGCAUCAGUUUUACCUCAGGAGUGAGGGCAUGGGUGCUAAGGUCCGUGCCCGAGAGGAGAAGAAUCCGGACCACCUGCUAAGGUCCCGAAAUGACAGCUAAGUUAAACUAACGAAGUCAGAUUGCUAAGACAGCUAGGAUGUUGGCUUGGAAGCAGCCAUUCAUUUAAAGAGUGCGUAACAGCUCACUAGUCGAGGAGUCGGGCGUGGAUAAUAAUCGGGUAUCAAGUUGUCUACCGAAGCAGUGGGAUCAUUGAUAUGAUCGGUAGGGGAGCAUUCCAGUCAGCGUCGAAGGCGUACCGCGAGGUAUUCUGGAGCGUCUGGAAAAGCAAAUGUAGGUAUAAGUAACGAUAAAGGGGGCGGGAAACCCCCUCGCCGAAAGACUAAGGUUUCCUGAUCAACGCUAAUCGGAUCAGGGUAAGUCGGGUCCUAAGGCUCAGCCGAAGGGCGAUGCCGAUGGCAGAAACGGUUAAUAUUCCGUUACUACCUCCAGGAGUGAUGUGGAGACGCAGUAGUGACAAUGCCGCCAUCUGACGGAAUAGAUGGUUGAAGGGUGUAGAUGUUGAUCUUGGCAGGCAAAUCCACCAUGAGAAUCGAACCUGAUAGUAUGCCGCGUCCCUCGGGACAAGGCAAUAGUGCAUGUAAUCAUGCUGCCAAGAAAAUCCGCUAAACAAAAUCCUGUAGGUACCCGUACCGUAAACGGACACACGUAGUCGGGAUGAAUAUUCUAAGGCGCUUGAGUGAUUCACGGUUAAGGAACUAGGCAAACUGACCCUGUAACUUCGGGAUAAAGGGUCCCUACCCUUUUAUGGGAGGGCGCAGAGAAUCGGUCCAGGCAACUGUUUAACAAAAACACAGGGCUGUGCCAAAUCGAAAGAUCCAGUAUACAGCCUGACACCUGCCCGGUGCUGGAAGGUUAAGAGGAGAUGUCAUCGAUAAGAGAAGCGUUGAAUUGAAGCCCCAGUAAACGGCGGCCGUAACUAUAACGGUCCUAAGGUAGCGAAAUUCCUUGUCGGGUAAGUUCCGACCUGCACGAAUGGUGUAAUGAUCUGGACGCUGUCUCAACCGUGAGCUCAGUGAAAUUGUAGUAUCGGUGAAGAUGCCGAUUACCCGCGAUGGGACGAAAAGACCCCGUGAACCUUUACUACAGCUUAGCAUUGACCUUGGUCAUCCGAUGUGUAGGAUAGGCCGGAGGCUUUGAAGCGGGAGCGCCAGCUUUCGUGGAGCCAUCCUUGAAAUACGGCCCUUUGGCUGUCUGAGGUCUAACGCGUGAUACGCGGACACUGCUUGGUGGGUAGUUUGACUGGGGUGGUCGCCUCCAAAAGCGUAACGGAGGCUUCCAAAGGUGCCCUCGGGUCGAUUGGUAACCGACCUCAAAGAGUGCAAUGGCAUAAGGGCGCUUGACUGGGAGGCAGACAUGCCGAGCAGGCAGGAAACUGGGGCAUAGUGAUCCGGCGGAUGUGUAUGGAAACUCCGUCGCUCAAAGGAUAAAAGGUACUCCGGGGAUAACAGGCUGAUCCCCCCCAAGAGCUCAUAUCGACGGGGUGGUUUGGCACCUCGAUGUCGGCUCGUCACAUCCUGGGGCUGGAGAAGGUCCCAA